Molecule: transfer RNA, 77 nt
Filed under: Chloroflexota bacterium
Lineage: Bacteria; Bacillati; Chloroflexota
Description: Chloroflexi bacterium tRNA-Pro
Rfam family: tRNA
About the family: Transfer RNA (tRNA) molecules are approximately 80 nucleotides in length. Their secondary structure includes four short double-helical elements and three loops (D, anti-codon, and T loops). Further hydrogen bonds mediate the characteristic L-shaped molecular structure. tRNAs have two regions of fundamental functional importance: the anti-codon, which is responsible for specific mRNA codon recognition, and the 3' end, to which the tRNAs corresponding amino acid is attached (by aminoacyl-tRNA synthetases). tRNAs cope with the degeneracy of the genetic code in two manners: having more than one tRNA (with a specific anti-codon) for a particular amino acid; and 'wobble' base-pairing, i.e. permitting non-standard base-pairing at the 3rd anti-codon position.
Source: RNAcentral
CGGGGUGUAGCUCAGCUUGGUAGAGCGCUGCGUUUGGGACGCAGAGGCCCACGGUUCGAAUCCGUGCACCCCGACCA